This 442-nucleotide ribosomal RNA is filed under the name uncultured bacterium. RNAcentral's name for it is "SSU rRNA". It matches the Rfam family "Bacterial small subunit ribosomal RNA", at positions 26 to 518 of the family's 1533-position model. The record is from RNAcentral.
AGAGCGGACGCUGGCGGCAGGCUUAACACAUGCAAGUCGAGCGGGCGUAGCAAUACGUCAGCGGCAGACGGGUGAGUAACGCGUGGGAACAUACCUUUUGGUUCGGAACAACACAGGGAAACUUGUGCUAAUACCGGAUAAGCCCUUACGGGGAAAGAUUUAUCGCCGAAAGAUUGGCCCGCGUCUGAUUAGCUAGUUGGUGAGGUAAUGGCUCACCAAGGCGACGAUCAGUAGCUGGUCUGAGAGGAUGAUCAGCCACAUUGGGACUGAGACACGGCCCAAACUCCUACGGGAGGCAGCAGUGGGAAUAUUGGACAAUGGGGGCAACCCUGAUCCAGCAAUGCCGCGUGGAUGAUGAAGGCCUUCGGGUUGUAAAGUCCUUUCGGCGGGAAGAUGAUGACGGUACCGCAGAAGAGCCCGGCUAACUCGCGCCAGCAGCCGC